Long non-coding RNA from Nanorana parkeri, 233 nucleotides. RefSeq lists it as uncharacterized. The transcript has 3 exons. Lineage: Eukaryota; Metazoa; Chordata; Amphibia; Anura; Dicroglossidae. The record is from RefSeq and is a predicted model, not a curated record.
CCGGCAGUAAAGAUAAAGGAGAGACGGCUACAAUACGCGAAAGGGGAGGAGAAUAUGAUGGAGAUGAGGUUUUAUGGUCCUAUAGAAGAUUCCCUGCUGGCCUGGGUUGGAAAUAUAAAAGAGAACAAAGUUUUCCUUGUCCUGUUUUCUAAAUCUGGCCUUGUGAAACCUGAUGACAUGAAAAGGUUCAAGCACUUUGCAGCCUGUCUGUCCAUCCCUGUGACCUUUGUAAA